GUGGGGAAUAUUGGACAAUGGGCGAAAGCCUGAUCCAGCCAUGCCGCGUGUGUGAAGAAGGUCUUCGGAUUGUAAAGCACUUUAAGUUGGGAGGAAGGGCAGUAAGUUAAUACCUUGCUGUUUUGACGUUACCGACAGAAUAAGCACCGGCUAACUUCGUGCCAGCAGCCGCGGUAAUACGAAGGGUGCAAGCGUUAAUCGGAAUUACUGGGCGUAAAGCGCGCGUAGGUGGUUCAGCAAGUUGAAGGUGAAAUCCCCGGGCUCAACCUGGGAACUGCCUCCAAAACUACUGAGCUAGAGUACGGUAGAGGGUAGUGGAAUUUCCUGUGUAGCGGUGAAAUGCGUAGAUAUAGGAAGGAACACCAGUGGCGAAGGCGACUACCUGGACUGAUACUGACACUGAGGUGCGAAAGCGUGGGGAGCAAACAGGAUUAGAUACCCCUGUAGUCC
Molecule: ribosomal RNA, 450 nt
Filed under: uncultured bacterium
Lineage: Bacteria
Description: bacterial SSU rRNA
Rfam family: Bacterial small subunit ribosomal RNA
Source: RNAcentral